UACCAUGGUUUUAACGGGUAACGGGGAAUUAGGGUUCGAUUCCGGAGAGGGAGCCUGAGAAACGGCUACCACAUCCAAGGAAGGCAGCAGGCGCGCAAAUUACCCAAUCCCAAUACGGGGAGGUAGUGACAAUAAAUAACAAUAUGGGGCUCUUAUGGGUCUCGUAAUUGGAAUGAGUACAAUUUAAAUCUCUUAACGAGGAACAAUUGGAGGGCAAGUCUGGUGCCAGCAGCCGCGGUAAUUCCAGCUCCAAUAGCGUAUAUUAAAGUUGUUGCAGUUAAAAAGCUCGUAGUUGAAUUUCGGAGUUUGUCGGUUGGUCGGGCUUCAUUGUCCACACUGACCUGAUGGAUUCCUACCUUCUGAAUAACCAGCAUGCUAUUAAGUUAGUGCGUUGGGGAAGCAGAGCUAUUACCUUGAAAAAAUUAGAGUGCUUAAAGCAGGCUUAUGCUUGAAUAGAUUAGCAUGGAAUAAUAAAAUAGGGCGGCAUGGUUCUAUUUUGUUGGUUUCUAGGAUCACCGUAAUGAUUAAUAGGGAUAGUUGGGGGCAUUAGUAUUCAAUUGUCAGAGGUGAAAUUCUUGGAUUUAUUGAAGACUAACUUCUGCGAAAGCAUUUGCCAAGGAUGUUUUCAUUAAUCAAGAACGAAAGUUAGGGGAUCGAAGACGAUCAGAUACCGUCGUAGUCUUAACCAUAAACUAUGCGGACUAGGAAUUGGACGAUGUUAAUUUUUUAAUGACUCGUUCGGCGCCUUACGGGAAACCAAAGUGUUU
Molecule: ribosomal RNA, 767 nt
Filed under: uncultured Acaulospora
Lineage: Eukaryota; Fungi; Glomeromycota; Glomeromycetes; Diversisporales; Acaulosporaceae
Description: SSU rRNA
Rfam family: Eukaryotic small subunit ribosomal RNA
Source: RNAcentral